GGCUCUGUGGCGCAAUGGAUAGCGUGUUGGACUUCUAAGUUAGGCAUUGGAGAUAUUCAAAGUUUGUGGGUUCGAGUCCCACCAGAGUCA
Molecule: transfer RNA, 90 nt
Filed under: Ameiurus melas (black bullhead)
Lineage: Eukaryota; Metazoa; Chordata; Actinopteri; Siluriformes; Ictaluridae
Rfam family: tRNA
About the family: Transfer RNA (tRNA) molecules are approximately 80 nucleotides in length.
Source: Rfam by way of RNAcentral